GAGGCGGGCUUCGGCUGGUGGACACCGGGGCCGGAGUGGCCGCCGGCAGUGGCUUGGGGUGGGAGCGGGGAGCAGGUCCGUCGUCGGCCUGUCGUCCUCCGCGACGUGUGUGUUUGUGUUUCAGGCCUCGGAUCGAGAAGAGAUCGAUUUUAGUUGCACUGCACAAAAGGAACAUGCGCUUAGCUAUGUGCUUUAGAGAUAUAUAAAUGGCAGCAACUAUGGACUCAUGUUUGUUUGUCUGCCGCAACAUCCUAUGUGAGGCGCACGGGUUACUUAUGAUACCCGUCAAACAUAUAUAUAGAAGUGACAUCGCAUUUCAAGAUUUGUAGACUGCUCGAGAUGACUAGGCGUAGAUACAUAAGUUGGUUGUGGACUUGUAAAACUUUUGUACUAUGUGAACGUCAUUGUAU
Triticum urartu is the source of this 410-nucleotide non-coding RNA. The record is from RefSeq and is a predicted model, not a curated record. NCBI's taxonomy places the organism in Eukaryota, Viridiplantae, Streptophyta, Magnoliopsida, Poales, Poaceae.